GCUGCCACCUCUCCGUUCUACGUAACCUCUGAAACUUCUUGUCCGUUGCGAAUCUCGGAGGCUUUGCAAAUCUUGUGCAGCUGCUAUUGUUGUGCGGAGAUGGCGCGGCAAGCACCAAAACACAGCGAAUUAAGUGCGUUGCAGCUGCGCUUGCAAUCAAGAACCAACGAAUCGGGGCAUUCGCCACCUUCACAUGUUCAGCAUCUUUGUCUCGGCAGUCUUCAUCGGUUGUGCACGUCUGUUUUCAGCUUAGGAGAUAUCGGCCGUUGCGAUUCAUUGUGAUAGUGUUAAGCCUCGGCUGACGUUCGUUUUGGUGGACAUCGGUGGUGUGGCACAGUCGGACCCAGAGCUUCGACUUGAAGAUGGUGUGUGCUUGCGGCACACGCCAUCACUUUCUGACACCCCAAAUUUCUGACAUGCCCUACUGCUUCCAAAUCACAGUGCUCUCCUUCACUUUCGUUAAUUCGAACUGAAGCGGCUUCCCCUUGUGGUUCGAACUAACGAGCUUUUACUGCAUAGGAAAUAGCUGCUGAAUUUGUUUUGGAAGUGGUGGUGACAUCACUGGGCAGCACUUGGCCAUACUUGUGAGCCCGGUCAUGGUUCUUAGUAGUAACGGAGGGCUGCACAGGCUCAGUUCAGUGCUUGCAGCAAAGGGCUAAUUUAUAUAGACUGUUGCCACCAAAGGGAAAGGUUUACCACAUUCGCACACAUUAUGCUAUGAGGCAACACUCGAAUGGUUAAUGGUAAAUGACCAAAUACAUAAUGCCUCAUAAUCUUCCAGCACAACAACUAGACAAAGACGAAAAAGAAGGCACCAUCUAUCAACUGAGGCUUUAAUGCAAGCACAUGGCCAAUAUAUGCAACGCAGAUUGCACCAAAGCAGGGAAAAACAAAACCAACAUCUUGUAAAGAGCCUACAGAAAAAUCAUGUUUAAUUACAUUUGAUAAAACAAAAAGGUAAAUUGAUCCUGUGUUAGUGUGAUGGAGGGCUGACUUGUGCAUUUGUGCACCUGCUUAUGGAUGUGAAAAACUUCAGCUAUCUUGUGCGUACACUGCCCUCUGUGCCUCAUAACGAUGGCAGUACUAUUGAAAAGAGGCAUGAUAACCACAGGUGUGACAGUGGCUAAAUGAGAGCUGGGUGUGCCCUUUAAUUGAAGUGUGGUGUUCGUUGAGGCAUGCGUUGAGGCCAUGUGUUUGCAUUAAAGCUUCAGUUGAUAGACAGCACUUGUGGCCGUCUCUUCUUUUUUGUCUUUGUCUAGUUGUGUUGACAGACCAUGAACAUAUUCCAACUCGCGCAGUUCUCGUUACUUUUGCAGUACAUAAUGUCUGUGCAAGGCUCCUCCUAGUUUGACCAGUGUUGCAGAAAGCGCCACAGGAGCAAGUUUCAACAGGUUGACCAGAAUUCACCAGAAGUAAUUAUUCUUGACUUAGGCAGUGCAAAAUAAUGUAGAUGGAGGGGAAGAAAACACGACACAGUGCAGACUAUCAAGUGAGGGUUUAAUGAAAAAACACAGAUAUAUAGACGCACUGAAAAAUGUGGCCCAAGAAAAAGUUAAAAAGCAAAAGUUUUUAGUUCCAACAUCAUAUAGUGGUAGGCAUCCAAGUAGUCUGCAGCAUGCAGCAUAAUGCAGCGUGAUGCCACUUUCACCCGAUUUGCUUAUAAAAAAAAAAACAUGCCUCUUCUAUUUCUCGUGCCACCGUGUCUUCGAAUCUCAACAGUACCCUUGUUUCAGCAAAGGUUGGUGUGUCCAAAGUUAGUAUAUGUUGCCAAAGUGUUUCUAGCUGUGGCACUCAAGGCCCAACGAAACAUUAUGCCAAACUGCAACAAACACAUGCAUAAAAGUUCUGUGUGCAUAAAUUGUCACACAUCUUAUGUGUUGUGCAAUUCUGUUUGUAUGAGGCCAUGGCAAAAGUAAUGAGCAACUAUUUUCCACAAGUUGUUGCUCAUUACCUACGAAAAGAAAGGUGCACCAUUAUGCACUUAAUCCCGCACAAUUCAGUUUUGUGUGUGUGCAUGCUUGUGGAAGCAACUUCCAAUAGAACCUAUUCGUAAUUGUAAAGCUAGCUUUUCUGCUAGACAGUUUGGCCAACUAACAGCAGCGUAAUCAUUUUUGCAAGCAGCCUGUACAAGCACAGUUUGCUUGUGUUAUGGCACGUAAAAUGUACAUUUUGCUCUUGUGAUGAAACUGUGUGCAAGAUACAAGCCCCAGCAUGUGCAAAUAGCAUAUAUUUUUUGUUUGAACUGCGACCUGUGCUGUCGUUAGUCGGGCAAAUGUGCAGUGCAGAGAAGCACGCUUGUGAAUGUGAAAAGAUUCCAUUGGUCAGCCCAUCGAUGGUUCAUUAACUCACAGCCUGUUUCCUGUCCUCUGACUUUCACAUUUAUUACCCCUUGCAGCCAAAAGGGGGAGAGAAUGAUAAUGCCAUUAUGUUGUGCACUCAAGCCUGUCUGAACAAAUCAGAAAAGACGAGAAGUUGUGCUAUUUGGCAUUUGAUGCCAGGCUUUUGAGGCUGCAGCUAGCUUAGCAACUGGCUGCAGAGCAAUGGUGCAUUCCAUGGUGAAGCAACCAUGCAUUCCAUACUAAGCAACCACAAGCAGUGUUCCCAUCUGCCUUUUCAGAUCCUCAUGUUCAGAUAUAUGUUAUCGUCAUAAGGGGAACGAUGGAUUCAAAAGGUGCCACUUGCAAAGCUGCCCUUUCUAUUUGUAUGGUUGAGCAACUAACCACACCACGAACAUUGUGCUUACCCCUUCAAAUGAGUACUGACAUAUUUUCAUAGUUGUACAAACUCAAGCACAGCACUUUUUGCACCUAUUAAGGCUGGAAAACAUCGCAAUGUCGUGACACCAAGAAAAAAUUGCAGAUGUCAUGUAGUAAUAAGGCUAGCUUCGAUGGCGUUGCUUAUAAAAAAUACUGCUGCACACAGUUUCUUGUGACCAAGCAUGUAUGUGGCAGCCACACUGUAGGAACAGAAUAUGCCAAGGUACUACUGCGUCGUGACCUCUUGGGCAUCAAACCUGAGUCACAGCAAAAGGUGCAGUAAAUUAAAAUUUAAGGUGCUCCAACACCUUCUAGUAUCUUUUCUAGGAUUGAAACCUUUGUUUAAUGGAAAAUAAUGAUAAGUUGAAAGUGGCACAUUAGUACUCGGUUUAAGCUGACCCCUGAUGCCAAGCUGCACGACAUCCAAGCUGUUUGAGAAAAUCUAUUCACAAUUUUCUUAAUGGAGGAAAGACAACUACGAGAUUUCAUCAGUUUAAUGCAGCAGUGUACAUACUAAAAUGAAUCAAAGCAGUAAUUGCACAAUUACUAACCUUAGACCGCAUUGAAUGGAAAGGGACGAUCAGUUAUAAUUUUAGACUUGAAACCUGUUCAAAGAGUCUGUAACCACUUGCACAGGGCUGAAGAGAGAUGAAUUAACAUGCUCUUGCCAGUUUUAUGCAGAAAAUCGAAACCAAAACGCUGAAAAGUGCACGUAUGUGUGAUGCAACCAUUUUGGCCUUGUCGUCACGCAAUGCAUGAAGUAAGGGAUAUCGCAGCUUGGUAAAGGAGACUGGGAGGCAGAAACGUGACUUGCAGGUGUCUGCUAGGGGCAUGACAGUUGCACAUUCUGGCAUUUCAGCUUCAAUAUCAUGGUGUGGAAUUGGCCAGAAUGCAUUGCUCUGAUAAAAUCCUACUAUUUCUGCAACUCCGCUGCUGCCACAAAAUACUAUGCUGGUAGUCUUUAGCAGGCCAAGGUUAACCACGGUAACAUGCACAUCGUGUUUGUGCCAUGACAGACCUACCUACAUCAGAAGCCAGGGAGGGGAGAAUUAUUCGCUAUUAGGAGCGGAGCUGAGAAGACUCACCUCCCCGACUUCCCUAAAUUCACUAGAAAAAUCCACAAUGGCAUUGUCUUUGGCAUUCCCCUCAAUGUUGCCUUGGAACUCCCAGUAUACAGUCGAAUAUCAUGUCCAGAGGGUCCCGGUACAGACUGGUGACCUUGGGACGCUCUUCUGCAUAUCCUUGUUGUAAUCGUGCUUUAAAUGUUUGAUUGAUUGAUUGAUUGAAUGCCUCUACAACGAAGGCUGGUAGAACAAAUUUGCCUGUACAACAAAGAAAUUUAGGCAUCCCUCGGCAGUUUAGCGGUUGCUUUACGACGAAUGCCAAGUAGCAGUGCUGCCACUGCCCUCUAUGUGCUAGCACCAGUGGCAGUUGACAAGCAUGCCACCAUCAGUAGUAGUCCCACUUCACUGCUCCAGCAAUCGCUCGACUAGUAUGCUGCUUGUUUCAGUGCAUCAGUGCGUGCGAUGGCUGACGAAUGCGUCGCAUUUGGUGAUUUAAUCAUAAGUGACGACCGACAAUGUGUUCAAAGCCAGCCGGGGGGUAGGUAGGGACGCGAAAGUCAACAGAGGCAAUAGUGAUGAAGAUCCUGUAGACUAACCAAGAAAUCUCACGGCAAAAGAGGCGAUAGCGACAUUGUAUAAUCUGCAGCUUUACUUUGUGUAGCUCCUAUGUUUUGCCGCAAAGCAUGCCGUGAAUCUUGGUACAAUAAGGUUUGCUGCAGUUGCUGAUUCUGUCCAAGUGUGCACCAAGAAUUAGCAAUUAUUCUACCAAGUCUCUCCUGAAUUAUGCUAAAUAUUUACUUUUGUUGAGUGUGCUUUGCCUGCCCUAGGGUAAGCAGUACAGUGCACGACCUUUACAGCAAAGCGACUUGUACAUAUAAAGAAUAUUGGAGGUCCCAAGCACUUUGUUAUAAAGGCGUUUGACAGUAGCGGGAAAGCAGCAAGGACUACUGUCAUCAUGGCACUAGCAGGCCCACUAUGCACACGCUUUGAACCUGUUGUAAUUGCCAUCAACAGUGCCAGCUUUUUGCAAGCCUUCAAGUGGUUGUGCACAACAGACUUCAAAUCUUGCAUUAGGAUUAGUCAUGUGGCUGUCAGUAAAAGAAGCAAUCCGUAAGAAAUCACUUGUCUUCUGUACCCUCAUAAGAAAUCUGAAACAUAUUUUUCUGAACCUUCCUGCAUAGUGUGAGCUUGCAACGCUUUGUGCUGUACGCUUACUUGCAUCAGGUCAGGGGCCACAUAGCUCUCUGAAAAAAAAAGUGCCGUGCUGUGGAAGCAAAGGUUAAACUGAGGGCAGGAUAAAAGCAAUUGGUACAUGCUGCAGUGACCAUGUGUUGCUGAGCACGAGGUAGCAGCUUCAAUUGUUUGUCAAGGCUGUCCCACUCUGAAUGCAAGAAAGCUCAAGUACCAGACACUGGGUGCUCACUGAAGAACCCCAUGUGUUCAAAAUUAACUUUCUGUUACGGCAUCUCUUACAGCCUGUGUCCCUUUAGAAUAUUGAAUCAUCAAACAAAAAAGGACUGAUGACUGUUGCUCUUCCAAGCACGCAAGGCCAAGGACAUGAGAGAAAGCAAAUUUUCCAUUCGGAGACAUAACAGUUGUCCCAAAUAAAUGACACCAAGAAGGAAAAAAAAGAGGGCUUUACACAAAUGGCAACCACUAAGCUGAUGAGUGUUGUUUAGGCUAGUAAAGUGUUAUUUUCCAAUUAGUUAAAGUUAUUAGGUUUACAUAGCAAACUUUCAAUUAACCAGACUGAUAAGGCAUCAAUGCAAAAGUUGUGAAGCAUGUCGACAACCACAUUGAUAGCAACCUAGGUCAUGUGCAGCCCCCUUUUUCAAAUGAAAAACGAAAGCCCGCUUAAGUUUAUAAAUACCAUGUGACAACAAAGACAGGUAAACCUCACCAUCUAGUAUGCUCAACAUCUUACGCACAUAUAAAGCCAGGGCCUUGUGUUUGAUAAAGACUGAAGAUUCACGGCAAAAGCUGCCGACGAGCCAGGGAAAGAGAGCAGCUGCUAGUUCCCAGUGCGAUGAGCUGGAACAGUGCUUGACAUUGUCGCAAGCUUUCUUUGUUGCAGAAGAAAACAACAGAAGAUAACAUAGAACAUAGCUUUCUUUGUUGCAGAAGAAAACAACAGAAGAUAACAUAGAAUAGCACCUCUCUGAAUGCUGUUAUCCGUAAUUUCACGACAUCCUCCACUGCUUUUGCACUGAUGCCUUAUCAAUUAGGUAAAUGAAGUAAAAGUGAGGUAAUGAAACUUGUCCGGCAGCAGUGCACAAAGUCUGGCAGCAGUGCACCCAGCGAGCAGGUCGACUAAGUGAUCCUGUAUAUCGUUACAGCCACACGUUUCCUGGGGCCUUGGAUCAACGCUUUGGCUUGCCAUCAACGACGCAGGCUGCCUGAGCCCUUUGGCUACCGUGACGCCCGUGCAACCUACUGCGCAUCCUCGUCUCUGCCUACGCUGACGGAGCAGAGUGCCCGGCUGCCUACAUAAGCCCAGAAUCCCUGCUUCGCUCUUCAGUCCGGCAGCAGUGCACCCAGCGAGCAGGUCGACUAAGUGAUCCUGUAUAUCGUUACAGCCACACGUUUCCUGGGGCCUUGGAUCAACGCUUUGGCUUGCCAUCAACGACGCAGGCUGCCUGAGCCCUUUGGCUACCGUGACGCCCGUGCAACCUACUGCGCAUCCUCGUCUCUGCCUACGCUGACGGAGCAGAGUGCCCGGCUGCCUACAUAAGCCCAGAAUCCCUGCUUCGCUCUUCAGUCCGGCAGCAGUGCACCCAGCGAGCAGGCUGCCUGAGCCCUUUGGCUACCGUGACGCCCGUGCAACCUACUGCGCAUCCUCGUCUCUGCCUACGCUGACGGAGCAGAGUGCCCGGCUGCCUACAUAAGCCCAGAAUCCCUGCUUCGCUCUUCAGUCCGGCAGCAGUGCACCCAGCGAGCAGGUCGACUAAGUGAUCCUGUAUAUCGUUACAGGUAAGAACAAACGACCUUGACACGUUAUAGUAAUUACCUUGCUUGCUGCACUGCUGCCGGACAACCAAAAAUAGAUAUAUAUUUUGUAUUUUGACUGCUUUUUGACGUGGGCACACGAUGUCAAAGAAAGAAGAAAAGGAA
This is a long non-coding RNA of Dermacentor albipictus, 6931 nucleotides long. RefSeq lists it as uncharacterized. The record is from RefSeq and is a predicted model, not a curated record. Lineage: Eukaryota; Metazoa; Arthropoda; Arachnida; Ixodida; Ixodidae.